CUUAAAUAUGUUGUACUGUGUUUCUCUCUCCCGCAGGUCUACUUACAAAAACCAUGCUGUUAGCCACAGAAGCAGUCAGUAUGUGUCCACACUUUUGGAACAACAUAAAAUGUUUAUUUUGAAAUGUUUAAGCCAACUGUAUUAUGUCGUAUGGUAUAUAUAAAGACACUGAGUUCUUAUAUAUAACAUGUAUAAAAAUCCAGCUUGUCUUUGAGAAAUAUUUUUAAUUGAUGUGUCUGAAAAACUACAAAUAAAAUAAAGCAAUUCAAACAAUCAAGGGGACAUAUAUUGAAUCUACUACAUGAAGCAUAGUUGUAAAUCAAGUUGUUUAAUUAACAAGUCGCAACCUGACUUUGACCUUAGAUUUGGUUUUUUGAGCAGAAAUUCCUUCCUCAUGUGUAUGACUCGUGAUUAUUUCCCAUCACCACAAACCAGUCGAGGCAGUCUGACAUCACUCCCAGAGGUUACUUCUGCUGAAGAUUUCUUCCUGUUAGGCAACUGUUGGUAUACAGCAACACUAGCUGAAUGAUUUGAUUUGCAAAUCAACUGCUAUUUAGCAAAAUAACAAUAGUUAUUUGUUAUGAAGACCUGUAGAGUCAAAGAUUGUGAUCUGGGAUUUUUCUGCACAUGUCAAAUGACCUACGUCACCUGGCAACUAAACUGUUUGUCAAUAACUUGUCCAAAAUGUAUGAGGCUCUAAUUAAGAACUAUGUAUAAAAAGUUCUAUAAUUAAAGUCAAAUGUUUCUUAAACUCAAUGAAUUAAAGGUGAAAGUCUGCACUUCAGUCACAUUUUGAGUGUUUGAUUUAAAAUGAUAUGGAUGGACAAAACCAGAUGAAUUGUGCCUCUGUCCAACAAAUUACGUGUAUGGGACAUUACUCUGACAUAGAGUUUGCUUCAUCUGUGUAGCGAAUAUGUUCUUAGUCUUCUUCUUUCUCAGGUUUCUGAUGCCUGAGGUGUUUACUAAGCACACAGUCAGUGUACAUCUCAUGGAUCUUUGUUGUUUCAUCCUGGACAGUGUAUCUGACACUCACCAAUCCUCAGCCACCUUCCUUCUGCUUAGGAGCUUCCUUGUCCUCACAUCUGUGGCUUCUAUCUCCUCCUUUGGCCAGGUGAUUACUGUAGAGGGUAUCUCACAACUGGCAGGGCAUAGGUUUUGAUUGCCCAGAUCUUGUCCUAUCCAUUCAGUUGACUGACUAAUAAUAGCAACUUUGUUGUGGUUUCCGUUCACUGUGGGAUUUCCAGGUACUUCUAGCUAUUCUCAGUGUCUGGAUUUUUGCCUCCUGGCAGUGGAUCUCCUCAAUUCUGAUUACUUUCCAUCUCACUACAACCUCACAUUAACGCCCAACUGUACUCAUUUUCUUGUUUAUAGCUGUUUUUGUUUUUAAUUCUCCCUCUUUUUAUGUGUUUGUAUCCUACAUAAUUGAUAUAACAUGAGUACAUUCAUUAGAAUCAAAAUAUGCAACUGCAGCAGCACAAUUCUCUUUUAUUACAUAAAUAAAAUCCUCAAAAGAUAUACUUUUUGCUUUCUUAUUUUGAGUAAAUUUCAGAAUCUGUACUUUAAAAUUUUUAACUGAGUAAAGAAGUUGAAUUAGUACUUCAGCUUUUACCAGUAUUUUAUAACAGAAGUAUCCGUACUUCUGCCAGUUGUGGCAGGGCAUGGUCCAUUAUGUGGCUGCGGGGGAGGCUGACAUACCUGAGCUCGAUCAGCUCAUCACGCCUCCCCUAUAUUAAACAUGUCGGGACCUGAGGCUGUUGUUGUGUGUAGGACGCAGCUGAAAAGCUGCAGACGUGAGUUGAAGAGACGACAACUGAAUAAAGAAGCGUGCUGGAAAGUGCAAAUAUGUGGUCGGGUCCGUCAUUCCUCUCACAACAGUAUAUCAAACCAUGAUUGCAAAUCCUAUCAGGAUUGAUCUCUGACUUGUGCUAACUUUUGUUACAAAAAGGAAUGGAUGAAGGUGCAUUACUCAGCCUUUUUGCAAGCUACUGCUUCAUUACAGGGCAAAUUUUCUGAUAAAACAAAUGCAUUAUAUUUCUCAUGGGGGCUGUACAGGAAAAGCCAGGGAUGGAUCACCAGUCAACUUUUUUCUUUGGGGAACACAGAAGUAUGCAAAAAAUAGAAAUCCCACAGGUGCUGAGCAUAGUGGACUGAUCAACAGACCAAAGUUUUAAUGCUAAAAAACACUUCUUGGUUAUUAAGCCAUACACUACCAACACAGUGAAAUAAACACAAUUACUUUUAUUAAAUAUCAAUGUGAAACAAUUUGUUUAUUUAUUUAUUUAUGUUUCAUGUAUUUGCAGUCUUUAUGAUGUUAUUUCAUUAAACACUAAUGGAACAAAAAGAGAGCCUGUUGACACCAUAAACAAAAUGACAUUUAGUUACGUAACUUGGU
Molecule: long non-coding RNA, 2392 nt
Organism: Oreochromis niloticus (Nile tilapia)
Lineage: Eukaryota; Metazoa; Chordata; Actinopteri; Cichliformes; Cichlidae
Exons: 2
Source: RefSeq, a predicted model, not a curated record